This 492-nucleotide ribosomal RNA is filed under the name uncultured bacterium. RNAcentral describes it as "partial 16S ribosomal RNA". It matches the Rfam family "Bacterial small subunit ribosomal RNA", at positions 29 to 507 of the family's 1533-position model. The record is from RNAcentral.
AGUGAACGCUGGCGGUAGGCCUAACACAUGCAAGUCGAACGGCAGCACAGUAAGAGCUUGCUCUUACGGGUGGCGAGUGGCGGACGGGUGAGGAAUACAUCGGAAUCUACUUUUUCGUGGGGGAUAACGUAGGGAAACUUACGCUAAUACCGCAUACGACCUACGGGUGAAAGCAGGGGAUCUUCGGACCUUGCGCGAUUGAAUGAGCCGAUGUCGGAUUAGCUAGUUGGGGGGGUAAAGGCCCACCAAGGCGACGAUCCGUAGCUGGUCUGAGAGGAUGAUCAGCCACACUGGAACUGAGACACGGUCCAGACGACUACGGGAGGCAGCAGUGGGGAAUAUUGGACAAUGGGCGGAAGCCUGAUCCAGCCAUACCGCGUGGGUGAAGAAGGCCUUCGGGUUGUAAAGCCCUUUUGUUGGGAAAGAAAAGCAGCAGGUUAAUACCCCGCUGUUCUGACGGUACCCAAAGAAUAAGCACCGGCUAACUUCGUG